GACGUAGGGCGCGAGCGUUGUCCGGAUUUAUUGGGCGUAAAGAGCUCGUAGGCGGCUUGUCGCGUCGUCCGUGAAAACCCACAGCUCAACUGUGGGCUUGCGGUCGAUACGGGCAGGCUAGAGUUCGGUAGGGGAGACUGGAAUUCCUGGUGUAGCGGUGAAAUGCGCAGAUAUCGGGAGGAACACCAAUGGCGAAGGCAGGUCUCUGGGCCACUACUGACGCUGAGAAGCGAAAGCAUGGGGAGCGAACAGG
RNAcentral lists this ribosomal RNA (253 nucleotides) under uncultured bacterium. RNAcentral describes it as "partial 16S ribosomal RNA". It matches the Rfam family "Bacterial small subunit ribosomal RNA", at positions 524 to 776 of the family's 1533-position model. The record is from RNAcentral.